UACGAGAGGCGCAAACGUUAUUCGGAAUUACUGGGCUUAAAGAGUUCGUAGGCGGCGCAGAAAGUAGGGUGUGAAAGCCCUCGGCUUAACCGAGGAAUUGCGCUCUAAACUACUGUGCUUGAGGGACCUAGAGGUGAGCGGAACUGAUGGUGGAGCGGUGAAAUGCGUUGAUAUCAUCAGGAACACCGGAGGCGAAGGCGGCUCACUGGGGGUCUUCUGACACUGAGGAACGAAAGCCAGGGGAGCGAACGGG
This 253-nucleotide ribosomal RNA is filed under the name uncultured bacterium. RNAcentral's name for it is "partial 16S ribosomal RNA". It matches the Rfam family "Bacterial small subunit ribosomal RNA", at positions 524 to 776 of the family's 1533-position model. The record is from RNAcentral.